CGGGUGAGCCCAGAACGGGUGCAGCCCAGAACUGUCUUCUGAGGAAGAGGUGCUCUCCUGGGCCCCCACUGUCCCCAGGCCUCAGAUGCUGCAUAUUGCUGGCCCAGCUCCUGAGGCUCUUUGGACCUCCAGGAAUCGGUGUCUCUAUCAGGAACCCUUAACCCUGACCCGGACUCCCGGCUGGGACCCGGGGUGUUGGAGUGGCAAGAGCGCUGUCAGGCCUGGUGAAGGGUGUGAGCUGUCCAACAGGGCAAGGAGGAGGCAGGGCCUGUUCUGUAGUUGGACAGACAGAGCCCUCUAGCUGCUUUCUGGAAGACUGAAGGGCAGGCGAUGUUGGAGGGAGGGAGUGCAGGCAGGGGCUGUGAGGGAGUUCAGGUCAGAAACAGGUGGCGCCUGGAUUCAGGCUGUGGUGGUCACGGUGGGGAUGAGGGGCUGCUUUGGAUUGUGCUGGGGAUGUGGGGUGGUGCGCUGCAUGACUACUGCCAGGUCUCUCUGCUCUUGGUGUCUGCAUCCAGGGCUGGGAGGGGGUCAAAUGUAUCACACUAUCGGCCCCAGGCCCACCAAGCCUGGGGAGGUGACCACCCUUCCACGAUGGCAUUUGGAUGUUCCCUGUGUGUGGGGAGGGCACAGGGACUCCAUUCCUAGACUACCUCUGGGACAGUGUGUCUACCUCUGAGGUCAGAUGCUCUGCACUGGGACAGGGUGGAGUGGAGGGAAACCCAGCUUGGGGCUCAUUGGAGGGGCUUGCUGGCAGACACCGCCCUUUGUGGGAAACUGACUGUGGGAGAGGGGAACCCCAACCUCUGUCACCACAUCCCUCUUCCCUGUUGUCACACCUGUCACCUGCUGCCAUAGCCAUGAGACUUCCCAAGGGUCACUGCUGCCACUCACUGCACAGCCUGGAAGGGAGUCCACAGGGGACAUAGAGUGAGCAAGAGACCUGUGCCACUCAGGCCUCCUGGGGGUGUCCCCAGUGCAGCCAUGAUGAUAAUCACAGCUACCAUUCACCAAGUCCUGCCCACAGUCUAACCUACUCUAUUCACAACA
This 1047-nucleotide long non-coding RNA is filed under the name Homo sapiens (human). RNAcentral's name for it is "HSALNT0304222". The record is from RNAcentral. Lineage: Eukaryota; Metazoa; Chordata; Mammalia; Primates; Hominidae.